Molecule: ribosomal RNA, 490 nt
Filed under: uncultured bacterium
Lineage: Bacteria
Description: partial 16S ribosomal RNA
Rfam family: Bacterial small subunit ribosomal RNA
Source: RNAcentral
GAUGAACGCUAGCGAUAGGCUUAACACAUGCAAGUCGAGGGGCAGCAUGGUCUUAGCUUGCUAAGGCUGAUGGCGACCGGCGCACGGGUGCGUAACGCGUAUGCAACUUGCCUCACAGAGGGGGAUAACCCGUCGAAAGACGGACUAAUACCGCGUACACUCUAUGUUGGGCAUCCAAUGUAGAGGAAAUGAAAUUCGCUGUGAGAUAGGCAUGCGUCCCAUUAGCUAGUUGGUGAGGUAACGGCUCACCAAGGCGACGAUGGUUAGGGGAACUGAGAGGUUGAACCCCCACACUGGUACUGAGACACGGACCAGACUCCUACGGGAGGCAGCAGUGAGGAAUAUUGGUCAAUGGGCGAGAGCCUGAACCAGCCAAGUCGCGUGAAGGAUGACUGUCUUAUGGAUUGUAAACUUCUUUUAUACGGGAAUAACAAGAGUCACGUGUGGCUCCCUGCAUGUACCGUAUGAAUAAGCAUCGGCUAACUCCGUG